GAUGAUUUAACGGAGCAAGUGAAACAUCUAUUUUCAAAUGAAUCUGACGAACAUGACCUUGUGGUUCGCCAUUUUAUUGAUAUUCUGUAAAUUGUGGAUUAAACAAAAACAAACACAAAUAUGCCUAUGUAUAUUUUGCUAGUAAUUUGCUUAGUAAGUGCACAGAGAUUCGAUUCAAGCUACUGAGAUCAGAAACAAGGCUAUAGCAGUAUAAUUAAUUAAUCCUCAUGUCAGUAUAAAAUGAUUUCCACAACCGGCAACUUCUACAAUAACGUAGGAGGGAGCUGAUUGACUCAAUGGCUUCAGUGAUGUUUAAAAUCUUUCAUUCAGGACCUUCAACUCAAGCAGAUCUAGAUGAAAUUCGAACCACCAUCAUAGAUUCAUAAAUAAAAAAAUAGACUUUCCUAACUUAUUCAAAUCCAUCAAGAGCCUAUUCCAACAACUCAAAAUCUUAGUGGAGAACAAUACAUUCAGCAUUAAACAUCGAUUAAGAAUAAUAAAAAAAAAGCAACAGAACUUGAAACUUAGGAAAACAUCUCUUAAUCAGUAUGAGUCUUAACAGGUAUACAAUAAAGUUUAAUCCAUAAUUCAGAAUAAGAUAAUAAGUUAGGAUUUACAUACCUAAAGCAAAGAAAUAGAAGGCAAUGACCAAAUAAAGGUCAAGUUUGAGGGCAAAUGAAGCUUGAUUAAAUAGGAGCAGCCAAGCAGUAAUCAGCAGCCUCACGAGUUCAAAUCCAGCAGCUUCUAAACCCGAAAAAUUGUUCCCCAACUCUUUCCUUUAGAUCCUUUUCUAAGUUUUUUUUUGUCUCCCUUUUUGUGUGUGCUUGUGUAUGUACAUGAACGGGAAAGGUGAGAAGAGAAGAGUGUGGGGGGAAGCUGUGACUGAAGAGGGGGCAGAGGAAUGACGCCGACCUCUUGAAAAGGCGGGGGGGGGGGGGGAAUCUAAUGAGGGGUGCGUCGUUUGCUUCUGCUUGGGAUGGUUUUCUAAGGGGUCCGAUUUUUUGUCUUAGAUCUAGCCUCUCAUGUUAGGUCUAGGUCCCUUUUAAUAUAUCUAGGUUUUUAAUUAAGGGGUAGUGGGUUUGGGGCUAAUGGGUUUAAGCAUUUGGGCCACCUCUUUUGGCCCAAUUCCAUACAACCAAAUUCUUCCUUUUCCUUCUUUAUUAAGUUUUUGCAAACUCUAGCCAUUUAAAACUCAAACCUUAAUUAAAUCUAAUUUUAUAUGGCUAGCCUAUUUAUUUAUUUUGCCUAAUGAUGGAUUAAUGCAACUAAUUAAUUAAUUAACAUAAGAAUGCAUUUUUUUUAUUUUUAGUUAUUUAAAAGAUGCAUAUGGCAAUAUAAUUAAGUUCUAAAUGCAAAUUAAACCUAAGAUAGCUUGAAAUUAUAACGUGACAAUUUUUUGUGAUUUUUCUAUGAUUUUAAAAUAUUGAAAAUGCAUGAAAUGCAAUUAAAUAAAAAAACUUCUAAAAUCCCUUAAAAAUUAUUUUUGGUUUAUUUUUAGGAAUUAUUUUCAUGUAAGGCAAAAAUUAGGUGCUCACAGCUGUCCCUCUUUGCUCGGAAACAUGAAGAGUUUUCGAAAAAAGAUAAAGUGAGCAAUUACGAGCAAUUUUUGCCUGUUUAAAACUCUAUUUUGGAAGAAUUUUGAAAAAGUUUGACCGAACCUUGCUUCGGAGGUUGCCUACAUAUCCUUGGCUAUAAAGGAAUCAGGUCGGUGUAGUUCUGGAAAUUUUAGUAGCUGGGACUACCGAGACUGUGAUUUCACUGCUGUUGCUGUCGUUUCUGCUUGUUGAUCUCCUUAUUACACCGAAAUAAAAAAUAAAAAGCUAAACUAGCUAAGUCUAUCAAGUAUGAGUUACAAGAUUCUUGUCUAUAAAUCUUCUGAAGCUCGAUCUUGAGUCUUGACUGGAUGCGGACUCUGAUCUGAAUCUUGAUGCUCAUUAGCUGCGAAUGCUGGUUCAUUUUUCUUCAGCUCUUCGGAUCAAGGCGGGACAUGCAAAGCUUGUGACUUCAAUCACAUCUUGGGCAGUCCGCAUCUUUUCUUCGCUUCUGCACUUAGAGCUUAACUUCUUUUCUUUUCUUUCUUUUUUUUUCUUUUAUUCUAGAUUGGGAAUUCUUAUUUUGUUUAUCUCAAACCUUGUUCCUCACGGUGAAAACCUAUUUAGGCACCAAAGAAAACAAACGAAUGAAAUUUUUCUACCCCAGUUUUCGCUAGGAAAAUUUCGUGAUUAAUUGUAACAAAAUCUAAACUGUUUUUUAUUGAAAACAAUAAAAUCAGUAUUGUGUAUCCUUGGGAAAAGAUAUUAGGUAGUGGAGCCCUAUAUCUAUAUUAAAAUCAACCAGGGAAUGAAGACCCUAUGUUGGAAAAACGACUAGGGAGUAGAGACCCUAUGCCUAAAUAACUUCAACUAAGGAGUGGAGACCCUAUGUUGGAAAAGCGACUAGGGAGUAGAGACCCUAUGUCUACAAUAAAAUCAACUAGGGAGUGGAGACCUUAUGUUAAAAAAGCGACUUGGGAGUGGAGACCCUAUGUCUAAGAUAAAAUCAACUAGGGGGUGGAGAUCCUAUGUUGGAAAGGCGACUAGGGAGUGGAGACCCUAUGUUUAAAAAUAAACUCAACUACGGAGUGGAGACCCUAUGUCUAAAAAUAAACUCAACUAGGGAGUGGAGACCCUAUGUUGGAAAUACGACUAGGGAAUGGAGACCCUAUGUCUAAAAUAAAGUCAACUAGGGAGUGAAGACCCUAUGUUGGAAAGGCGACUAGGGAGUGGAGACCAUAUGUCUAAAAUAAACUCAACUAGGGAGUGUAGACCCUAUGUUAGAAAAGCGACUAGGGAGUGGAGACCCUAUGUUGGGAAAGCGACUAGGGAGUGGAGACCCUAUGUCUAAAAUAAAAUCAACUAGGGAGUGGAUAGCUUAUGNNNNNNNNNNNNNNNNNNNNNNNNNNNNNNNNNNNNNNNNNNNNNNNNNNNNNNNNNNNNNNNNNNUAAAAGUCUACUAGGGAGUGGAGACCCUAUGUUGGAAAGGCGACUAGGGAGUGGAGACCUUAUAUCUAAAAAUAAACUCAACUAGGGAGUGGAGACCCUAUGUUGGAAACACGACUAGGAAGUGGAGACCCUAUGUCUAAAAUAACUUCAAGUAGGGAGUGAAGACCCUAUGCGUAAAAUAAAAUCAACUAGGGAGUGGAGACCCUAUGUUGGAAAAACGUAACUAGAGAUUGGGGACCCUAGGCUACCAUGAUUUUGAAUUUUUCUUCUUUCUUCUUCUUUUUGUUUUAAGAAAAUGAAUAAAAAUGCAGGAAAGAAUUCGGAGGAGACUUCCCUUUUGGAUUGAUUAUUGCUUCAAAGCUGUUUCUAGACCUUGCACAGUUUCUCUUUGGUUGCACCUGCUUCUUGCAAGGUUGCUUUGGAUUGUACCUGUUUCAUGUUUUCAAACAACGAACAAUUGUUAGUUUGAAAUGGUGGUUGGUUUUGUGGCCUUGAUUGUUUCAAUCACUUGAUCUUGGCCCGGCUUCUUUGAUGAAGAUCUCAAUUGCAACUGCUCGUUUCUUGAGGACCGAUUUCAUUUCAGGCCCUGAGAACCUCUGAUUUUUUCCAGAUUUUGCCAUGACAGUUGGUCGGUGGAACUCAACCUUUUUGACUUUAUUCUGCCUUCGUAGGCCUUUCACUUCCGGCUUCUUUCUUCCAACAUCAAUUUCAGAGCAUUUGGGGUACCUUGGCUUUUUCAAAUCUUUGCUGAGACGAUUAGCCACGUGGAACUCAACCUUUUCAACUUCUAAGAGUUUUUAAUUUCAAAACAUCAGCCAUCAUGGCCGGUCGAAGUCGACUUGAUGCCCUUGCGAAGGCUGGGUGUCUUCUUGUAUAUUAGCUCAUGUCAAAUGAGAACCCUGUAAAUCAGUCUUCUCAUCCCUUCUUUGUCUCAGUUGCGGAAUAGAGUUAGACCGAAAGGAAUUCAAAGAAAAAUAAAUAAUGGACAGGAUGAUGAAUUUAAAACAAGUAGUGUCCCUUUCGAGGAAAGGAAGAAGGACUUAUCUGGGGUACAUGCGGACUUCAAUGAACAUGACAUGCCUUUUGGACUGGAUGCAUGAUCUGUGUAAACCGUCCGACUCUGAGAAAUUCAUCACAACUUUUGCCUCAAAAUCGAGAAACCUUGCCAGGACUCUUUCAGUGUCAAUGGUUGUAAGGUAUUCCUUCUUUUCGAUCAACGGCGCCCUUUGCGGGUUUUCGCCAAUUAACCUCUCUCAUUUCUCUUCUCACCGUCGCCUUAUAGUGCUCUUUACGAGUUUUCACAAACAAGACUCUCUCAUCUUCAAUUUCUCUGCUCACUAUCGCCUUACGGUGCCCGUGUGAGUUUUCACCAAUAAAACUCUCUCAUUUUAUUUCUCUCAUCUUGAUUGUAUUAGAUCUAAAUAGUUACGUUCUCCGAUUCUUAAACAUUCUCAUUGAUUGAUCGGAAGGACUUGAACAGGGUUCAGAGUAAAAGGAAUUUGGAUCAAAUUACAACUUUGGAAUCUUUUGGCGAACCGUCACUGAAUCAUUAUAACAUCUGUUCCACUUUCACUUUGGGGGGAAAUUGAAUUUUUGUUUUGGUGUGACUGAACCCCAGAGAGAAGUUGUCUACGUAUCCUUUCGGAAUCAAGUCGAACAUAGUUCAGGAAACUUUCUUUUUGAUUUUCUUUUGUUUUCUGUUUUGUUUUGUUUUCCCUUUCUUUUUCCUCUUUUUUUUUCAUUUCAUUGUCUUUUCUUCCCCCUCUUUUUUGUAUCUUUCUUUUCUUCUCUUUUUCUUUUUGCCCUUUUCUUCCUUUUUUGUAAUUUUUCUUUUUUUCUCUUUUCAUUUUUUUUCAUUUCAUUUUUUAUUUUUUAUUCAAUAACACUUUCAAGUUUCAAAGAGGGUAAUCAAAGAAAAGUAACCAGCUCAAAGGGUUUUCAAAGGAUUGAUAGUGUUUGGGUAACGAAAAUAAAAGCCUUCUUCAUCUCAACCGGAGAACAUUAUUGUUAUAUAGAAGAUCCAACAUAGUACCUUUUGACUGCACCUGGGUUGAGAGUUGUUUCAGGAUCUUUUCCUUCGACAUUUCCCAGGUACGACGCUCUCUUUGUAGUACCUUUGUUACCAUGUAGGAAUCUUUCCAAUUUGGAGCCAAUUUUCCUUUAACUGUUCCAACUCUUUGUUUUAUUUCCUAAAACUUAUCUUCAUUGCAAUCUAAUUCUUGAUUCAUUAUUUCAAUUUCUGACAACAUUUUAGGAUCCGAGCAUGAAGUCCGCAAGCAUGUCAUGUUAUUGAAAUCUGCAUUUGACAGAACAAAAAAGAGAAUAAGAAAAAUGACAAGAUUAAGAAAAGAGACAUUCCUGGACAAUGAAAUAUUAAUUUCAUUUGAUAUUUUUUAUUUUUCGUUUUUUUGUAUUAUUUUUUUCAAUUUUUUGAAGAUAGAAGGGUUUACAUCAGAAAGUAAGACAAUAAAUUAAAAUAUUCGUACCACACUCUAAGAUAAUCCGGACGCAGAAAGGAUAGCAAGACUGGAUACCGAUACUCCCCUCUGAUGGGGAACUUUCAUGCUUGGCGACCAUAUUUUGGCUUUUCUUCUAUCUCGGCAAUGGCUGCAAUGGCCUUCAGUGCCAGAUCAAGUUCCUCAUCUUCACAAAUCAUUCCGACUAUGCAAACCGAAACAAACAGAUGCGAAAGUAGCACGUAAGAUGCAUCAGGAUGGUCUUUUUAAUUUGGGUACACCUAUCCUAGACGGACUCAACCCCUAUGUUGAGUCCCCAAUGUCAAUUGCAUGUGAUGCAAAUAAGCGUUCCUACUAGGGAUCCGGCAUAAGGCUAUGUUAUUCUAGGUUUAAAAACCUGGUGUAUUUGUUCUAGACCUGGCUUACCCGAGCAGACAGCUCGAGCCGAUGGGGGGCAGCAUACUGGUAAUACAGAAGUUUCACCGGCUUUGCACCUUGUCCGAACCUCGUUCUAAAAUUGGGAUAUGACUCUAACAGAAAAUAAGUUACAUGAAGUGUACACUUCCCAGAUGAUUUAGAAGACUCAGAGAGAAGAGGAUUUCGUAACAGUUUAUAUACAAUUCAAACAAUAUCAAAGCGGUAAAAAGCGGCAUUUAGUACAUUAGGCCCAAACAUAUAAAAAUCAGAUAAUAAAUAAAGCCAAGUAUAACAGUCAUUCUAAGUUCGAAUUCUUGAACCCUAAACCAAAUGUUCUGGGUUAUGGUCCUCAGCAGAGUCGCCAGAGCUGUCACACUUCCUUUUGACCACCCGAGGGGGAUAUAAGGGAGUUUUUCUAAUUAAAGUGACAUUAAUCAAAAUGGUAUUAUUUUAUUAAAUUUAUCAGAUUCGCCACUUGGGAUAAUUAUUUGGUGUCCCAAGUCAUCGGUUUAUUUUGAAAUCCCAAAUCGAGGAAAUUUUGACUUUAUUUUUAAAAAGUCUGCGAACCAGAAAUUCUAAGUAAGGAAUUCUGUUAACCCGGGAGAAGGUGUUAAGCAUUUUCGGGUUCCGUGAUUCUAGCACGGUCGCUUAAACUAUUAAUAUUGCCCUAUUAUCUAAUUUGCUACAUAUUUUAAACAUAAUAUGCAUUUUUAAUUUUAUAGCCGCUUUUAAUUACUUUAAACUGCUUUUAGGAUUUAUGGAAUUGUUUCUUAAACAAGUUACGAUUGUCGUACACUUGCCGUUUUGGAACAUACCACAAAUUACGCUACAUGAAAUGUACCUGCGAUUCGCGAUACGUUUAUUUUUAUUAAUAUUUAAAGUUGUUAUGAUCGGGUUACAUGAAAUGCACCCCCGAAUUUUGGAACUAGGCAUCGUAACUAUGUCACGGGAACCGUACCCAUAGUCACGAUGGUAUAUUAAUCGCGCCUAAAGCAACUAGCGCGUGUAAAAAAAGGUUGUUUUUCUAUACUAAGUUAAUAUUAAUGCGAGGGCCAUAGCUUAUGGAUUUUAUUUGUGUAUGGUACACCUCAAAUUAUUUUAAGAAAAGGUUUAUAUAUUUUUUCUUCUAAGGAAAACUAAAGAUGCUCCUACUUUAAUCUAAUUUUGCAUCACAACCAUGUCACGGAACCGUACCCGUAGUUGUAAUAAUUUACAAAAAAAAAUGCCAAGUUCGCAAGGUUUCUCUCCAAAAAUUUCAACUACUGCCUACUUUCCAUUUUAGUGCAUUUCAAACUGUUAACCACUGUCGUAAAUAUAGCAAGUUUUUAUUCCUCCAAUAUUCAAACUAAUAUAAAAUAGUACUCUUUCCAUUGGAUCAACUUUGAGUUGACACCUCUAUACCUUUAUGCUCCUUGAUAAUCAACCAAAGUAAAAAUCGAAAUGAGAUAAAUUUGACUCAAAUCUUUUCCUUUGGUUUGUUCCUUUGGAUUCACAGACCCCGACAUCAGAUAUAGAAGCAGAGGUUCCUUUCUUCUAAGAGUAGAAACAAAAUGAAAGCUCCACUGCUCUCUUUUUCUUUUCACUUCAUUUGUUUUAUUUGUUGGAGGAUUUUGUUGAAAGUGUAUUAUAACAUAAAGAAAUACAGAUGAUUUAGUGGAGCAAGUGAAGCAUCUAUUUUCAAAUGAAUCUGACGGACACGACCAUGUGGUUCGCCAUUUUAUUGAUAUUCUGAAAUUGUGGAUUACACAAAAAAAACACAAACAUGCAUAUGUAUAUUUUGCUAGUAAUUUGCUUAGUAAGUUCACAGAGAUUCAAUUCAAGCUACUGAGAUCAGAAACAAGGUUAUAGCAGUGUAAUUAAUUACUCCUCAUGUCAUUAUAAAAUGAUUUCCACAACCGGCAACUUCUACAAUAACGUAGGAGGGAGCUGAUUGACUCAAUGACUUCAGUGAUGUUUAAAAUCUUUCAUUCAGGACCUUCAACACAAGUAGAUCUAGAUUAAAUUCGAACCACCAUCAUAGAUUCAUAAAUAAAAAAAAAUUAGACUUUCCUAAAUUAUUCAAAUCCAUCAAGACCCUAUUCAAACAACUCAAAAUCUUAGUGGAGAACAAUAUAUUCAGCAUUAAACAUCGAUUAAGAAUAAGAGAAAAAGCAACAGAACUUGAAGCUUAGGAAAACAUCUCUUAAUCAGUAUGAGACUUAGCAGGUAUACAACAAAGUUUCAUCCAUAAUUCAGAAUAAGAGAAUAAGUUAGGAUUUACAUACCUAAAGCAAAGAAAUAUAAGGCAAUGACCAAAUAAAGGUUAAGUUUGAGGGCAAAUGGAGCUUGAUUAAAUAGGAGCAACCAAGCAGUAAUCAGCAGCCUCAUGAGUUCAAAUCCAGCAGCUUCUAAACCCGGAAAAUUGUUCCCCAACUCUUGCCUUUAGAUCCUUUUCUAAGUUUUUUUUCCGUCUCCCUUUUUGUGUGUGCUUGUGUAUGUUCAUGAAUGGGAAAGGUGAGAAGAGGAGAGUGGGGGGGGGGGGGGGGGGGG
Molecule: long non-coding RNA, 8383 nt
Filed under: Nicotiana tabacum (common tobacco)
Lineage: Eukaryota; Viridiplantae; Streptophyta; Magnoliopsida; Solanales; Solanaceae
Description: long non-coding RNA (NTAB_LNC018996)
Source: RNAcentral